RNAcentral lists this transfer RNA (72 nucleotides) under bacterium. RNAcentral describes it as "tRNA-Glu". It matches the Rfam family "tRNA". From Rfam's summary of the family: Transfer RNA (tRNA) molecules are approximately 80 nucleotides in length. The record is from RNAcentral.
GCCGCAUUCGUCUAGUGGUUAGGACAUCGGCUUUUCAAGCCGGUAACAGGGGUUCGAUUCCCCUAUGCGGUG